Long non-coding RNA from Carassius gibelio (silver crucian carp), 551 nucleotides. RefSeq lists it as uncharacterized. The record is from RefSeq and is a predicted model, not a curated record. The transcript has 3 exons. NCBI's taxonomy places the organism in Eukaryota, Metazoa, Chordata, Actinopteri, Cypriniformes, Cyprinidae.
AACAGACAUUCAGAGGGGAACAGAAUCGACUGCUACACCGGGCAGCAUACGUAACACUCUAAAUAGAUGUUGUCCCUAUUUUCACUUGUAUAUGUGCAGCUAAGAAUACUUUAUCAUUUUUAACUAAACUACAACAGUUUUGACGAUGUUAUGUAAAGUGAUGGUGAAGUAAGUUAUGCAUUGGCGAUCGACUGGCUAGCUGAUUUUGGGAUCUGAGACUAGUUCCGGCAUUAGGCAUAACAUUUGUUACUGUAGUGUUGAACUGUGUUAAUUUUUUUUUAGGUAUGAAGGACCACUGUCAUCCACUCCCAUGAAAAAACGGCCAGUACUGACAGAUCUCACUCUAAUGAGCAUCGGGUCAAGUGAUUCUGAUAAAGACAAGCAUACCUCAGAAAAGGCCAGCAAGUGCUCGGCAGGUGUGGAAGAAUUGGCCAGGCUUGAGUGCAGGAUUGACUGGGCAGUUAACCCUCCACCUGUAAAGGCAUAAGAUACUGAUGAUGAGGAGCAGGACAGCUCUGAUGAAGAGUACAUCCCUCCACUUUCUCUUCAGU